RNAcentral lists this ribosomal RNA (269 nucleotides) under uncultured prokaryote. Its description in RNAcentral is "partial 16S ribosomal RNA". It matches the Rfam family "Bacterial small subunit ribosomal RNA", at positions 524 to 792 of the family's 1533-position model. The record is from RNAcentral.
UACGGAGGAUCCGAGCGUUAUCCGGAUUUAUUGGGUUUAAAGGGUGCGCAGGCGGGAGAUUAAGUCGGCGGUGAAAUUUUGCAGCUCAACUGUAAAAGUGCCUUCGAAACUGGUUUCCUAGAGUGUGGAUGAAGUAGGCGGAAUUUGUGGUGUAGCGGUGAAAUGCAUAGAUAUCACGAGGAACUCCGAUUGCGCAGGCAGCUUACUAAACUACUACUGACGCUCAGGCACGGAGGCGUGGGGAUCAAACAGGAUUAGAUACCCUGGUA